UUGAUUUAUUUAUCCACCUACUGAAGGACAUCUGCUGAAGGGCUUGCUUCCAAGUUUUGGCAAUUAUGAAUAAAGCUGCUAUAAACAUCCAUGUUCAGGUUUUUGUAUGGAUGUAAGUUUCCAAAGUUACAGAAC
This is a non-coding RNA of Vicugna pacos (alpaca), 135 nucleotides long. NCBI's taxonomy places the organism in Eukaryota, Metazoa, Chordata, Mammalia, Artiodactyla, Camelidae. The record is from RefSeq and is a predicted model, not a curated record.